CGAGAAUAAAAUUAAAUAAGAAUCUAGUUGUAAACUGGAGUAAUAACUUACAGCUUUUAUUAGCCAUACAUUCAGAGAAUAAUAAUAAUUAUAAUAAUAAUAAUAAAUUAAGCAGAUAUUUAUAUCUGGUUUUUGCAGGCAAAUCUGGCUAACAUUGUUCAAUCACUAAAUGUAUGAAAAUUCCUGCAUUUUUUUGUCAUUUUCUAACAGCUGCGUCGACUAAAUCGGAAUAAUUCUUACUCCAAACAACAUUUAACACAAUUGUUUACGUACACAUACAGGAAAUGAUACUGAAUAUAAGAACAUAAAAAGAAAAACAAAA
This is a long non-coding RNA of Macrobrachium nipponense, 322 nucleotides long. RefSeq lists it as uncharacterized. The record is from RefSeq and is a predicted model, not a curated record. The transcript has 2 exons. NCBI's taxonomy places the organism in Eukaryota, Metazoa, Arthropoda, Malacostraca, Decapoda, Palaemonidae.